This 64-nucleotide transfer RNA is filed under the name Hyphasis sp. REN-2018. Its description in RNAcentral is "tRNA-Ile". Lineage: Eukaryota; Metazoa; Arthropoda; Insecta; Coleoptera; Chrysomelidae. The record is from RNAcentral.
UAUAAGAUGCCUGAAAAAAGGAUAAUUUUGAUGGGAUUAAUAAUGUGAAAUUUCACUCUUAUAA